UGCAGAAUCCCGUGAAUCAUCAAGUCUUUGAACGCAAUUUGCGCCCGAGGCCUUGGCUGAGGGCACGUUUGUCUGGGCGUCGCAU
RNAcentral lists this ribosomal RNA (85 nucleotides) under Tsuga canadensis (Canada hemlock). Its description in RNAcentral is "partial 5.8S ribosomal RNA". It matches the Rfam family "5.8S ribosomal RNA", at positions 73 to 154 of the family's 154-position model. From Rfam's summary of the family: 5.8S ribosomal RNA (5.8S rRNA) is a component of the large subunit of the eukaryotic ribosome. It is transcribed by RNA polymerase I as part of the 45S precursor that also contains 18S and 28S rRNA. Functionally, it is thought that 5.8S rRNA may be involved in ribosome translocation. Lineage: Eukaryota; Viridiplantae; Streptophyta; Pinopsida; Pinales; Pinaceae. The record is from RNAcentral.